This 253-nucleotide ribosomal RNA is filed under the name uncultured bacterium. Its description in RNAcentral is "partial 16S ribosomal RNA". It matches the Rfam family "Bacterial small subunit ribosomal RNA", at positions 524 to 776 of the family's 1533-position model. The record is from RNAcentral.
CACGUAGGGGCCAAGCGUUGUCCGGAUUUAUUGGGCGUAAAGAGCGUGUAGGCGGCCGCACAGGUCCGUUGUGAAAACUGGAGGCUUAACCUUCAGACGUCGAUGGAAACCGUGCGGCUAGAGUCCGGAAGAGGAGAGUGGAAUUCCUGGUGUAGCGGUGAAAUGCGCAGAUAUCAGGAAGAACACCCGUGGCGAAGGCGGCUCUCUGGGACGGUACUGACGCUGAGACGCGAAAGCGUGGGGAGCGAACAGG